AUUCUUAUAAGAACCGAAACAAUAGUGUGAUUGCACCAAGACAAAAGUCAUAUAGAAAACAAAAUCCAGAUUAACAUUCAUACAAUGUGUUCAUGAUCACCAACAUCCCAAGAAACCAAAACAAUAGAAUGCAAACUCAUAUUAGAAAGAAACUCAGGUUAACUCCCCUACCUCAAAGGAUCCAAGGUUUCCUCUUGGUCUUACAUUGUAACCCCAAACUCUCCCUCUCAAGCUUUUCCUCCUCUCUAAUGGCUUCUCGCGGUGCACAGCUUCCGCACUUUUCUCUCUUCUUUGCAGCUCUCUUUCUGAUAUAUCCCCUAACUGCCCUCCUCCUCUAUACUAAAAUACUAAAAUAUUUGAACUCCAAAAUAACUAACAUCCCCUUUCUUUUCGGUCCUCUCUCUUUUAUUUUUUUUUCUUUUUAAAAUUCCUCCCAGAAACCUAAUAUUAUGUUUUAUUUUCAUGGUUGUUAUUUUCCCAAAGUACGUAUGCCCUGUUACCAUAUAAAAACUUCUUCUGACCGUAAAAUAUUCCCCCAAUGCCUUACCAAAUUUUGCAUGAAUAAAAGAAUAAAAUAAUACAAAAGGUGACCUAGUCUACACCUACCUUUUUAAUAUAUUAAUUGACGUGGCCCACCUAAAGUAUGAAUAAAAGAAUGGUUAAAUAGAUUCGAUGAUCCCUAUUUUUGUUGGUUUUCUUCAAGUAGGUCCCUAUAUUUUCAAAAUG
This 726-nucleotide long non-coding RNA is filed under the name Vigna radiata. RNAcentral describes it as "long non-coding RNA (VRAD_LNC010247)". Lineage: Eukaryota; Viridiplantae; Streptophyta; Magnoliopsida; Fabales; Fabaceae. The record is from RNAcentral.